UGGGGAAUUUUGGACAAUGGGCGCAAGCCUGAUCCAGCCAUGCCGCGUGCGGGAAGAAGGCCUUCGGGUUGUAAACCGCUUUUGUCAGGGAAGAAAUCUUCUGGGUUAAUACCCUGGGGGGAUGACGGUACCUGAAGAAUAAGCACCGGCUAACUACGUGCC
Molecule: ribosomal RNA, 162 nt
Filed under: uncultured bacterium
Lineage: Bacteria
Description: partial 16S ribosomal RNA
Rfam family: Bacterial small subunit ribosomal RNA
Source: RNAcentral